This is a long non-coding RNA of Gambusia affinis (western mosquitofish), 1878 nucleotides long. RefSeq lists it as uncharacterized. NCBI's taxonomy places the organism in Eukaryota, Metazoa, Chordata, Actinopteri, Cyprinodontiformes, Poeciliidae. The record is from RefSeq and is a predicted model, not a curated record. The transcript is spliced from 4 exons.
CCUCCUUCCUUGCAGAUGGAGAAGUCGUAGCCCAGCGUACAGGCGGCGUCGGUGCAGUUCACCGUGUCGCUCACCGUGUCGUUGUGGUCACCAGUGGCAUCUCUCACUAUACAGGAACCUGAGACCAAGAGAAACAACAACAACCUGGCCUUUAAGAGUUUUCUUACCUUGGCUUCCCACUCCAUCCCAGCUACAGAGAUUCCCAGCAGCAGGAUGACGGUCAGCGUCCCGACGAUGCGAAUGUCAUUCAGCUCAUCGGUCAUCAGAGCGUCGACAUCCUGCAGCGAAGCAGCAGGAAAAUGUUUAAUUUCAGGCCUAAACUUCAUCAUCAGGCAGGUUUUAAAAUGUUUUAUAAAGUUCUUACACUGAGCAUCACAACGACCGUCUCAGCAAAACCCACGACGUACAUGGCCACCGCCACAGCGUUGGCGAAGGCAAAGAUGAGACCGAUGGAGCCUCCGAACUCUGGACCCAGACUUCUGGAGAUCAGUUUUCCUCCUGCUGGUCGGUUCCUCACCUCCGCGUACGAAGCCGUUGGUUGCUAUGGCGGAGGUCGACAGGCCGGUGAUGGUGGUGACCAGAGUGGCCAUGAGGAUGAUGGCGAUGGUGAGUCCUGGUUCACAAAAACACCUGAACCGUUAAAACCCUGAACAAAAAACGCUCCUUCACUUCACGUCCAACAUCUGAGAACAAAAACCAAACUGGAUGGGAGGUUUUCACCCACCGAUUCCAGCCUGACCAACGAUCCAGGACAUCCUGAUGAAGAGCAUCACUCCCCAGAUGUUCAGCAUGCAGCGCACCUGCAACACGUUUCUGCAGGUUAACACCACCUGACUGCCCUCAACACGCAGCGUAUCUGAGACUCCGUCUGUCAUCACCCACCAGGACGCCCUUCAUCCAGCCGAACUUCACCGCUCCUCCCUUCGCCUCCUUCGCCAUCAACGCCGCCGCCUCCUCGGCGGCUGACGGCUCCUCGCUGUUGACCAGGCCGUCCUCGAACGGCUCCUGGAGGGAGAAGGAAUGUCAGGAAAAAUAUCCAGAGGAUGAAUCGGCUGAAGGUUGUUUUCUGUGAACAUGUGAGCAGAACUCACUGGACCGGACCGAGUUCUGCGGCUUCUUGGUGCCGCCCUGCUGGUUCUGGUGCUGCUUCUUCACUUUGUGCUUCUGCUCCGGAGAAGACGAGUUCCCUUUUUGUUUCAGUGCAUCCAGGAAGUGAGGAAUGGGCAGGUCUGUUGGAAAAGGAUUUGGUUAAAAACUGAAACCCACAGUGAGUUUUUGUUCUUCUUUUAUUUUAAUCAGCAGAUUGGACUUUUAACGGUUCUGUGAUGACAGACGUUCCUCUGAAUUACUGAUGAAAAGUUAGCAGAUUUUUCCAUAGAGCAGAUUUAGACACAAUUCUGCUUCACACACUAUUGGCCAGCAUUUGCUUUAAAGCAGCCAAUCCCAGAGCAGCAUUUAUUUUCCUGGCCACUGAUUGGUUGAAUAGGAAAGACUGUGAAUGUUAGCUGCAUUAAUGCUAAGAUGGUACCUUAAGAUGCAUUUUAACGCAUUUUAAGGUACAUUUGGUGUUUGAACAUGGAAAUAUUCAGUAAUAACUGUUUUUAGACAGAAACUCAAAUACUUUUUAAAAAUACUGUUAUUGUUUCUUCUCAGUCAGAAAUGAUCCAAAAAGUUUUCAUUUAAAUUCUACUUUUAAAUUCUAAUAACUUGAGAAGAUUUCUGUCUGUUUCAUAUUUUUAUUCAAGUUCUUUAAUCACUUGUGGCGUUCCUCAGGGCUGCAUCCUGGGCCCACUGCUGUUCCUGAACAAUACCAUGGUUCUGUGCUACGUUUCCAGUAUUUAUUUAAUAUUUUCAAUAAAGUUUGGUGUAUCAAAUUCA